RNAcentral lists this ribosomal RNA (253 nucleotides) under uncultured bacterium. Its description in RNAcentral is "partial 16S ribosomal RNA". It matches the Rfam family "Bacterial small subunit ribosomal RNA", at positions 524 to 776 of the family's 1533-position model. The record is from RNAcentral.
UACGUAGGGUGCAAGCGUUGUCCGGAAUUAUUGGGCGUAAAGAGCUCGUAGGCGGUUUGUUACGUCGGCUGUGAAAACCUGGGGCUCAACUCCGGGCCUGCAGCCGAUACGGGCAGACUAGAGUUCGGCAGGGGAGACUGGAAUUCCUGGUGUAGCGGUGAAAUGCGCAGAUAUCAGGAGGAACACCGGUGGCGAAGGCGGGUCUCUGGGCCGAUACUGACGCUGAGGAGCGAAAGCGUGGGGAGCAAACAGG